Molecule: long non-coding RNA, 131 nt
Filed under: Monodelphis domestica (gray short-tailed opossum)
Lineage: Eukaryota; Metazoa; Chordata; Mammalia; Didelphimorphia; Didelphidae
Description: lncRNA (ENSMODG00000049156.1)
Source: RNAcentral
GAACAAUGAAUUGGGAAAGCCAAAAGAGUCAGCUAUCCUGCCAGGCCCCCUCCUUCCCUUUGCCAGAUAGAAUCCUACCUAUCCUUUGAGGCUCAUCUGCUCCAAGAAGCCUUCCUCUUCAAACUUCAAUC